Molecule: ribosomal RNA, 1556 nt
Filed under: Escherichia coli
Lineage: Bacteria; Pseudomonadati; Pseudomonadota; Gammaproteobacteria; Enterobacterales; Enterobacteriaceae
Description: bacterial SSU rRNA
Rfam family: Bacterial small subunit ribosomal RNA
Source: RNAcentral
UUAAAUUGAAGAGUUUGAUCAUGGCUCAGAUUGAACGCUGGCGGCAGGCCUAACACAUGCAAGUCGAACGGUAACAGGAAACAGCUUGCUGUUUCGCUGACGAGUGGCGGACGGGUGAGUAAUGUCUGGGAAACUGCCUGAUGGAGGGGGAUAACUACUGGAAACGGUAGCUAAUACCGCAUAACGUCGCAAGACCAAAGAGGGGGACCUUCGGGCCUCUUGCCAUCGGAUGUGCCCAGAUGGGAUUAGCUUGUUGGUGGGGUAACGGCUCACCAAGGCGACGAUCCCUAGCUGGUCUGAGAGGAUGACCAGCCACACUGGAACUGAGACACGGUCCAGACUCCUACGGGAGGCAGCAGUGGGGAAUAUUGCACAAUGGGCGCAAGCCUGAUGCAGCCAUGCCGCGUGUAUGAAGAAGGCCUUCGGGUUGUAAAGUACUUUCAGCGGGGAGGAAGGGAGUAAAGUUAAUACCUUUGCUCAUUGACGUUACCCGCAGAAGAAGCACCGGCUAACUCCGUGCCAGCAGCCGCGGUAAUACGGAGGGUGCAAGCGUUAAUCGGAAUUACUGGGCGUAAAGCGCACGCAGGCGGUUUGUUAAGUCAGAUGUGAAAUCCCCGGGCUCAACCUGGGAACUGCAUCUGAUACUGGCAAGCUUGAGUCUCGUAGAGGGGGGUAGAAUUCCAGGUGUAGCGGUGAAAUGCGUAGAGAUCUGGAGGAAUACCGGUGGCGAAGGCGGCCCCCUGGACGAAGACUGACGCUCAGGUGCGAAAGCGUGGGGAGCAAACAGGAUUAGAUACCCUGGUAGUCCACGCCGUAAACGAUGUCGACUUGGAGGUUGUGCCCUUGAGGCGUGGCUUCCGGAGCUAACGCGUUAAGUCGACCGCCUGGGGAGUACGGCCGCAAGGUUAAAACUCAAAUGAAUUGACGGGGGCCCGCACAAGCGGUGGAGCAUGUGGUUUAAUUCGAUGCAACGCGAAGAACCUUACCUGGUCUUGACAUCCACAGAACCCUGUAGAGAUACGGGGGUGCCUUCGGGAACUGUGAGACAGGUGCUGCAUGGCUGUCGUCAGCUCGUGUUGUGAAAUGUUGGGUUAAGUCCCGCAACGAGCGCAACCCUUAUCCUUUGUUGCCAGCGGUCCGGCCGGGAACUCAAAGGAGACUGCCAGUGAUAAACUGGAGGAAGGUGGGGAUGACGUCAAGUCAUCAUGGCCCUUACGACCAGGGCUACACACGUGCUACAAUGGCGCAUACAAAGAGAAGCGACCUCGCGAGAGCAAGCGGACCUCAUAAAGUGCGUCGUAGUCCGGAUUGGAGUCUGCAACUCGACUCCAUGAAGUCGGAAUCGCUAGUAAUCGUGGAUCAGAAUGCCACGGUGAAUACGUUCCCGGGCCUUGUACACACCGCCCGUCACACCAUGGGAGUGGGUUGCAAAAGAAGUAGGUAGCUUAACCUUCGGGAGGGCGCUUACCACUUUGUGAUUCAUGACUGGGGUGAAGUCGUAACAAGGUAACCGUAGGGGAACCUGCGGUUGGAUCACCUCCUUACCUUAAAGAAGC